AGUUUGACUAAAGCGCCUGGACUAUCUUCCGUUCGGAAAGAAGGUAGUUGACGAGGAGGAGGUUCAUCGAGUAUCGGCGGAUGCCUCCCGGUUGGAUUCACCUCAAUCGUAAGCUUUUAUUCUAAAACAAAGGGGUGACCCUUUGCACAAAGAAUCGAAGCAAGGUGAUU
This 170-nucleotide non-coding RNA is filed under the name Pontibacillus chungwhensis. RNAcentral's name for it is "GlcN6P sequence". It matches the Rfam family "glmS glucosamine-6-phosphate activated ribozyme aptamer". Rfam says of the family: This entry contains a glucosamine-6-phosphate activated ribozyme that is found in the mRNA for GlmS. Lineage: Bacteria; Bacillati; Bacillota; Bacilli; Caryophanales; Bacillaceae. RNAcentral also lists the same sequence under 1 other name. The record is from RNAcentral.